UGUGUGUAGCUGCCAUUAGCAAGAAACCCGUCAGAGACACAGUAAGCCGGUGUGAGUUUAUUCCACUUUACACGGCAUCCUCUUCCGGUUAAGUUUGACGUCAUGCAGCAGGAGGAGCUUUUGCUCCACAAGGUGGCGACAGUGACCCAGG
Molecule: long non-coding RNA, 151 nt
Organism: Ictalurus punctatus (channel catfish)
Lineage: Eukaryota; Metazoa; Chordata; Actinopteri; Siluriformes; Ictaluridae
Exons: 2
Source: RefSeq, a predicted model, not a curated record